UAAGUUAAGAAACUGUUUCUUAACUUUUAACUAAAAAAACUAAAAACCGGUCCUUAAAUAAAGACUUUAAGAACCAGUUCUUAGCUUUUUUAGUUAAAAGUUAAGAAACAAUUUUUUUAACUUC
This 124-nucleotide microRNA precursor is filed under the name Brassica napus (rape). RNAcentral describes it as "MIR9563 microRNA precursor family". It matches the Rfam family "MIR9563 microRNA precursor family". Lineage: Eukaryota; Viridiplantae; Streptophyta; Magnoliopsida; Brassicales; Brassicaceae. The record is from Rfam by way of RNAcentral.